CCUACGGGUGGCAGCAGUGGGGGAUAUUGCACAAUGGGGGGAACCCUGAUGCAGCGACGCCGCGUGGGUGAAGGAGUGCUUCGGCAUGUAAAGCCCUAUCGGCAGGGAAGAAGCAAGACGGUACCUGACUAAGAAGCCCCGGCUAACUACGUGCCCUCAGCCGCGGUAAUACGUAGGGGGCGAGCGUUAUCCGGAUUCACUGGGUGUAAAGGGAGCGUAGACGGCCAUGCAAGCCAGCGGUGAAAGCCCGGGGCUCAACCCCGGGACUGCCCUUGGAACUGUGCGGCUAGAGUGCGGGAGGGGCAGGCGGAAUGCCUGGUGUAGCGGUGAAAUGCGUAGAUAUCAGGAGGAACACCGGCGGCGAAGGCGGCUUACUGGACAGUAACUGACGUUGAGGCUCGAAAGCGUGGGGAGCAAACAGGAUUAGAUACCCCGGUAGUC
Molecule: ribosomal RNA, 441 nt
Filed under: uncultured bacterium
Lineage: Bacteria
Description: partial 16S ribosomal RNA
Rfam family: Bacterial small subunit ribosomal RNA
Source: RNAcentral